RNAcentral lists this non-coding RNA (97 nucleotides) under Sediminibacillus halophilus. RNAcentral's name for it is "SAM-I sequence". It matches the Rfam family "SAM riboswitch aptamer (S box leader)". From Rfam's summary of the family: The SAM riboswitch is found upstream of a number of genes which code for proteins involved in methionine or cysteine biosynthesis in Gram-positive bacteria. Lineage: Bacteria; Bacillati; Bacillota; Bacilli; Caryophanales; Bacillaceae. The record is from RNAcentral.
AUCUUAUCAAGAGAAGUUUAGGGAACUGGCCUGAUGACACUUCAGCAACCUCUGUACGCAGAAAGGUGCUACAUCCAGCAUUCUUGAGAGAUAAGAG